GAAGUCCCAAAGGAGAGGGAAAAAUAAACAAGCCAGCUGGGAGGAAAGGCCAGGGCAGGAAGCCUCGAGAAGUAAAGAUGGCGGUGGCUGGCCCAGUUUAUCUGCUCCUGACAUUUUAUGAAGUGCUGCGUGGUGGAAUGCAUAGAGCACUUGACUUCAAGUCUGUGAGGGGUCCUCCCAUGGAUGUCCUCCAAGGUCCUUCCUUGUGUGUGCAGGUGAUCCCAGGUCUCCCUGGCUGGGCCAGCAGAGCACCAACUCCAGUCAGGCCUCCCAAGCUGGGUUGGCUUCAGAUCUGGAUCUCUACUACCCUGACAAGCUGCUAAGGACCAGCCCAGGUUAGGUCAGAGAACUAAUCACCAGA
Vombatus ursinus (common wombat) is the source of this 361-nucleotide long non-coding RNA. RefSeq lists it as uncharacterized. The transcript is spliced from 3 exons. Lineage: Eukaryota; Metazoa; Chordata; Mammalia; Diprotodontia; Vombatidae. The record is from RefSeq and is a predicted model, not a curated record.